AGAGUUUGAUCAUGGCUCAGAGUGAACGCUGGCGGCGUGCUUAACACAUGCAAGUCGAACGAGAACGGUCCUAGCUUGCUAGGAUGUCAGCUAAGUGGCGGACGGGUGAGUAAUGUAUAGUUAAUUUGCCCCUUAGAGAGGGAUAACAGUUAGAAAUGACUGCUAAUACCUCAUACUCCUUCUUUCUUAAUGAGAGUUGGGAAAUGUUUUUUCGCUAAGGGAUGAGACUAUAUGGUAUCAGGUAGUUGGUAGGGUAAGAGCCUACCAAGCCAAUGACGCCUAGCUGGUCUGAGAGGAUGAUCAGCCACACUGGAACUGAGACACGGUCCAGACUCCUACGGGAGGCAGCAGUGGGGAAUAUUGCACAAUGGAGGAAACUCUGAUGCAGCAACGCCGCGUGGAGGAUGACGCAUUUCGGUGUGUAAACUCCUUUUAUAUGGGAAGAUAAUGACGGUACCAUAUGAAUAAGCACCGGCUAACUCCGU
This 485-nucleotide ribosomal RNA is filed under the name uncultured bacterium. RNAcentral's name for it is "bacterial SSU rRNA". It matches the Rfam family "Bacterial small subunit ribosomal RNA", at positions 8 to 506 of the family's 1533-position model. The record is from RNAcentral.